AUUCUGUAUAAAAAGUUGUUGUUGCUGGAAUGUUAAGGGAUGCCAAGCCUGACAAAAGCAAAUUGCAAAAGCUUUCCAUUGCAAUGGCGGCAGAAAAUACUCGCAAGUAAAAGAGAAGAGGAACUUAAUCGAUCAGACGCUUGUUGUAUGUUGUUGGUUUGGUUCCGGUUAAUUUACACGAAAAUCGUCAGAAGAAUCGGAGUGUUAUCACGUUUAAUGGACAACGUUUAAAAAUCAAUGGGGCCGCAUAACGAUAAAGUUACAUAUACGGUCGACAGCAACCGAAAUCCUUUCGGAUCAGGAGAACCCAAUAUGCGCAUCCAAAACAACGGAAAACACAAGAGGACCCGCAAAAAAAAAAAGAAUUAAAGGAUGAUUAUCAUAAGACAGCAGCAAAAAUCCCACGGUUUUAUACCAUUUUUCAUUUAAGUGACCAGUAAAUGAGUAAAUAACCGUAAUAGCUAUCACUUGAAAAAGUCGCCAGUUCCGGUCGACCUAAGCAGAAGCUCUUAAAAAAGAUACCGGGAAGGGGGAGAAUUAAGCGAUACAAUUCAACGACCUGUUUGAUUCGGCGAUGACUACAAAUGCAAAAUUUAAAAGGCACUACGUUCACUUUACAAAAAUAUCGGGCCUGAUGAUGAACCCAGAAGGAGGACAUCCUUCGACGGAACCAUAUAUUCAAGGACUAUCUGUGCCGAAU
Molecule: long non-coding RNA, 700 nt
Organism: Uranotaenia lowii
Lineage: Eukaryota; Metazoa; Arthropoda; Insecta; Diptera; Culicidae
Exons: 4
Source: RefSeq, a predicted model, not a curated record